UCCUCAAACUCCCCUUCUCAGCCUGGCUCCAUAGAAUCAUGGCCCCAAGUGGCUUUCUGAUCUUCUCUUGUCAGGAGCCAUUUAGGACAUGAAGUUUGCUCUGUACAAGGAAGGAGAUAAGAAAUCUUUGAGAGUCCUGAUCCCAGCCAGAAUGGGCCUAAAGUUCUCUUGAUUUACAUGACCACCAACCACACUGAGAACCGCACAGUUGUUGCCAUCACUCUGGUCAUGAGAGAGCCUAGUGCCCCUUUGGCUUCUAAUGAAAGGGGAGAAGGGUAUUUCUGAAGGACAGUCAAUUCUGAGGGUGAACAUUCUUCCAUUUCCUCAAUAGAGCAGAAUCAACACCAAGGAUUUCACACAAAUGUUGUGGAUAUGGAGAAUUGGAGACACUAGACAGAUUUUCCUCUCUCCACUAUUCCAGGGUUAGAGGUUCCCUAGCCAUGAGUACUCACCUCUGGAGAGAUAUUUAUCCCUUUCUUAUGACCCAUUCUUUUUACAGGUAAGUUGGAUAUUUCAAAAGAUAAGCCUUAGGGGAGAAGUUAGAGCUCUCAGAGAAGGAAGGCCAUGUCUCCUCUGAUGUAUUCUACAGAAUUGAUAAUGGGUGGAAGUAUGGGAACAUGAAUAAGGAACCCCAUCAGAACAAUGAAACCUGAAAAUGGAUUUUCUCCCUAGACUCAGGAUCUAGAAGCGUUUCCAUUGCCCUCAGCUGUGUCAUCAUUCUCUCCCUCUUUCUAUUGGCCUUCUACCAUCGUUCCUAUAUUGCAUCCCUGGCUGAUGGUAUCUUCCUUACUGUAUUGGCCUUUCAUCAAUCACGGAAUACUCAAAGAAGAGACCAAGUGCACAGUCAUGACCAAGCAGAGACUGACCCAUCAACAUCAGGGGCUGAAGACCAUGAAACAGUGACAUACAGCCAGUUGAACAUAAAGACGCUGAGGAAGGGGCAGUCAACUGCCUCUGAGGAAGGCCAAAAUCAUGUCAUCUAUAGCACUGUAAGGUGCAAGCAGAGUCCCAUGGAUCAUUUGGAAAAGAUAAUGGCAUGAACCUCAUACAGAGGGCCUGGGAGACUAUGUGUAAGUUGGGCAAAUGGUCUGAGAGAGGUGCUACACAAGUUUGCCCCGUGUGGUGCACCCAGUGGAGAGGGCACAGCUGCCCCUCAACUUUCUCUCAUCUUACCAUCAUAUACCAUCUACAAAUACAUAUCUGUGAAGAACUUUUCUCUAAUUUAGCAACAACUUCAAAAUCAUUUAAAAAAGCCUUUAGAGUUACAAAAAUACAACAUGACUUUUAACAUCUGGUGUGUGAAUAGAUUAUGUACCCAUAAAGUAGGAUAUUGCUUUGUAAACUAGAUUUUUUGUUGUCCUUUCUUUC
Monodelphis domestica (gray short-tailed opossum) is the source of this 1368-nucleotide long non-coding RNA. RefSeq lists it as uncharacterized. The record is from RefSeq and is a predicted model, not a curated record. NCBI's taxonomy places the organism in Eukaryota, Metazoa, Chordata, Mammalia, Didelphimorphia, Didelphidae.